GUUGUGAAGAAUUUGUGACAAGAUGGAUGCUCUUCUGCAAGCCAUACUUUUACUCCGAUUAUACAGAAGAAGGAAGAUGAAGAAAAUACGAAAUUUCUGUUGGGUUCAUGCCAUACAUUUAAGAAGACCAGUGUUCGGUUCUUUCAAUUACCUCUUUCCGGAUCUACUCGAUGAUGCCAAAAAAUUUUAUAACUAUUUUCGCAUGAGCCCAGAUUUGUUUCUUCAACUAAGAAAUUUUAUUGCCGAACGUAUUCGAAGAGAAAAUACCAACUACAGAACUGCCAUUUCCAUUUCCAAUAAAACAGAUACCUAGUAACAGGAGAAUCGUUUACAUAUACUAAGC
Diorhabda sublineata is the source of this 343-nucleotide long non-coding RNA. RefSeq lists it as uncharacterized. NCBI's taxonomy places the organism in Eukaryota, Metazoa, Arthropoda, Insecta, Coleoptera, Chrysomelidae. The record is from RefSeq and is a predicted model, not a curated record. The transcript has 2 exons.